This 948-nucleotide ribosomal RNA is filed under the name Moraxella bovis. RNAcentral's name for it is "bacterial SSU rRNA". It matches the Rfam family "Bacterial small subunit ribosomal RNA", at positions 521 to 1471 of the family's 1533-position model. Lineage: Bacteria; Pseudomonadati; Pseudomonadota; Gammaproteobacteria; Moraxellales; Moraxellaceae. The record is from RNAcentral.
UAAUACAGAGGGUGCAAGCGUUAAUCGGAAUUACUGGGCGUAAAGCGAGCGUAGGUGGUCAUUUAAGUCAGAUGUGAAAGCCCCGGGCUUAACCUGGGAACUGCAUCUGAUACUGGGUGACUAGAGUAGGUGAGAGGGAAGUAGAAUUCCAGGUGUAGCGGUGAAAUGCGUAGAGAUCUGGAGGAAUACCGAUGGCGAAGGCAGCUUCCUGGCAUCAUACUGACACUGAGGUUCGAAAGCGUGGGUAGCAAACAGGAUUAGAUACCCUGGUAGUCCACGCCGUAAACGAUGUCUACCAGUCGUUGGGUCUUUUAAAGACUUAGUGACGCAGUUAACGCAAUAAGUAGACCGCCUGGGGAGUACGGCCGCAAGGUUAAAACUCAAAUGAAUUGACGGGGGCCCGCACAAGCGGUGGAGCAUGUGGUUUAAUUCGAUGCAACGCGAAGAACCUUACCUGGUCUUGACAUACCAAGAAUUCGCUAGAGAUAGCUUAGUGCCUUCGGGAACUUGGAUACAGGUGCUGCAUGGCUGUCGUCAGCUCGUGUCGUGAGAUGUUGGGUUAAGUCCCGCAACGAGCGCAACCCUUUUCCUUAGUUACCAGCGACUCGGUCGGGAACUCUAAGGAUACUGCCAGUGACAAACUGGAGGAAGGCGGGGACGACGUCAAGUCAUCAUGGCCCUUACGACCAGGGCUACACACGUGCUACAAUGGUUGGUACAAAGGGUUGCUACACAGCGAUGUGAUGCUAAUCUCAAAAAGCCAAUCGUAGUCCGGAUUAGAGUCUGCAACUCGACUCUAUGAAGUCGGAAUCGCUAGUAAUCGCAGAUCAGAAUGCUGCGGUGAAUACGUUCCCGGGCCUUGUACACACCGCCCGUCACACCAUGGGAGUUGAUCUCACCAGAAGUGGGUAGCCUAACGCAAGAGGGCGCUCACCACGNNGNCGUNNU